CCUACGGGGGGCAGCAGUGAGGAAUAUUGGUCAAUGGGCGAAAGCCUGAUGGAGCAACGCCGCGUGGGUGAAGAAGGUCUUCGGAUCGUAAAACCCUGUUGUUAGAGAAGAAAGUGCGUGAGAGUAACUGUUCACGUUUCGACGGUAUCUAACCAGAAAGCCACGGCUAACUACGUGCCAGCAGCCGCGGUAAUACGUAGGUGGCAAGCGUUAUCCGGAUUUAUUGGGCGUAAAGGGAACGCAGGCGGUCUUUUAAGUCUGAUGUGAAAGCCUUCGGCUUAACCGGAGUAGUGCAUUGGAAACUGGGAGACGUGAGUGCAGAAGAGGAGAGUGGAACUCCAUGUGUAGCGGUGAAAUGCGUAGAUAUAUGGAAGAACACCAGUGGCGAAAGCGGCUCUCUGGUCUGUAACUGACGCUGAGGUUCGAAAGCGUGGGUAGCAAACAGGAUUAGAUACCCUUGUAGUC
Molecule: ribosomal RNA, 465 nt
Filed under: uncultured bacterium
Lineage: Bacteria
Description: partial 16S ribosomal RNA
Rfam family: Bacterial small subunit ribosomal RNA
Source: RNAcentral